AUGAAGAUAGUUCAUCAGAAAAUCAAGCGAGGGGAUUGCAUCGAGGUGCUGACGGAGGCUCGGCACCUUCUUGAUGUGGCGGUGGCACUACCGACUUCCCAGCAGCUUCCUUUGGUGAGGGAGGUGGCUCGACCCAGCCAUGGCGCUAGCGUUGCAGAUUCCGGCGGCCAUGAGAUUGUACAUCACCCACGCUUGUACUAUGGAUCCUUGGAUGACAAGACACAUACUCAUAUCCGCUCGUUGUACAACAGAGAGUUAUCCAAUUGGCGGAUCCAUGACAUGUGUGGGAGCAAGGGAACCAGAGGUGUGGGCCAUCUAUUGCUAGAGGCCACCAUCAUGUACUGCCGAGAGAUUAUAUACCUCUUGAUGAUCCUUGUCUUGUCCGGUGACAUCUUGGAUGCACAGAUUGUCAUUGACUCACUUGGUAUCUCCAUGAAGGUAGAGGAUGGAAGAUCAAAUUGA
RNAcentral lists this ribosomal RNA (462 nucleotides) under Triticum aestivum (bread wheat). RNAcentral describes it as "partial small subunit ribosomal RNA". The record is from RNAcentral. Lineage: Eukaryota; Viridiplantae; Streptophyta; Magnoliopsida; Poales; Poaceae.